RNAcentral lists this transfer RNA (75 nucleotides) under Verrucomicrobiales bacterium. RNAcentral describes it as "tRNA-Val". It matches the Rfam family "tRNA". From Rfam's summary of the family: Transfer RNA (tRNA) molecules are approximately 80 nucleotides in length. Their secondary structure includes four short double-helical elements and three loops (D, anti-codon, and T loops). Lineage: Bacteria; Pseudomonadati; Verrucomicrobiota; Verrucomicrobiia; Verrucomicrobiales. The record is from RNAcentral.
GGAGCUUUAGCUUAGUGGUAGAGCGUCCGCUUCACACGCGGAAGGUCACUGGUUCGAACCCAGUAAGCUCCACCA